This 468-nucleotide ribosomal RNA is filed under the name uncultured bacterium. RNAcentral describes it as "partial 16S ribosomal RNA". It matches the Rfam family "Bacterial small subunit ribosomal RNA", at positions 28 to 507 of the family's 1533-position model. The record is from RNAcentral.
GACGAACGCUGGCGGCGUGCUUAACACAUGCAAGUCGAACGGAAAGGCCCUGCUUUUGUGUGGUGCUCGAUUGCCGAACGGGUGAGUAACACGUGAGAAACCUGCCCUUGACUUUGGGAUAACUUCAGGAAACUGGGGCUAAUACCGGAUAGGAGCUCCUGCUGCAUGGUGGGGGUUGGAAAGUUUCGGCGGUUGGGGCUGGACUCGCGGCUUAUCAGCUUGUUGGUGUGGUAGUGGCUUACCAAGGGUUUGACGGGUAGCCGGCCUGAGAGGGUGACCGGCCACAAUGGGACUGAGAGACGGCCCAGACUCCUACGGGAGGCAGCAGUGGGGAAUAUUGCACAAUGGGCGGAAGCCUGAGACAGCAACGCCGCGUGCGGGAUGCCGGCCUUCGGGUUGUAAACCGCUUUCGACUGUGCCGAAGCGUGAGUGACGGUAAUGGGUAAAGAAGCACCGGCUAACUACGUG